CACGUAGGGCGCAAGCGUUGUCCGGAAUUAUUGGGCGUAAAGAGCUCGUAGGCGGUCUGUUGCGUCCGCUGUGAAAACUCGGGGCUUAACCCCGAGCCUGCAGUGGAUACGGGCAGACUAGAGGUAGGUAGGGGAGAAUGGAAUUCCCGGUGUAGCGGUGAAAUGCGCAGAUAUCGGGAGGAACACCGGUGGCGAAGGCGGCGAUCUGGGUAGAUACUGACGCUGAGGUGCGAAAGCGUGGGGAGCAAACAGG
This 253-nucleotide ribosomal RNA is filed under the name uncultured bacterium. RNAcentral's name for it is "partial 16S ribosomal RNA". It matches the Rfam family "Bacterial small subunit ribosomal RNA", at positions 524 to 776 of the family's 1533-position model. The record is from RNAcentral.